RNAcentral lists this ribosomal RNA (301 nucleotides) under uncultured bacterium. RNAcentral's name for it is "partial 16S ribosomal RNA". It matches the Rfam family "Bacterial small subunit ribosomal RNA", at positions 509 to 809 of the family's 1533-position model. The record is from RNAcentral.
CAGCAGCCGCGGUAAUACGGAGGGCGCGAGCGUUACCCGGAUUUACUGGGCGUAAAGGGCGUGUAGGCGGCCUGGGGCGUCCCAUGUGAAAGGCCACGGCUCAACCGUGGAGGAGCGUGGGAUACGCUCAGGCUAGAGGGUGGGAGAGGGUGGUGGAAUUCCCGGAGUAGCGGUGAAAUGCGCAGAUACCGGGAGGAACGCCGAUGGCGAAGGCAGCCACCUGGUCCACUUCUGACGCUGAGGCGCGAAAGCGUGGGGAGCAAACCGGAUUAGAUACCCCAGUAGUCCCUGUCUCUUAUAA